GCUUUGCUUUUUUUUUUUUUUUUUUUUUUUUAAGAAAAAGGUUUUCUAGUUUCUUCUACAUUAAAAAUAAUCCCUCCUUCUCAUAAAGCACAAUUUUACAGAGGAAAAGGGAGAUGUGAAACUAUACACAAUUCAAAUCUAAUUAAUAUAUAAUUUUUUUGUGGAAUACAGAUGGAGGGAAUACAUCACAAUACUAAAGGUGAUUAUCUUUGGAUGGUGGGAUUACAGGUGAUUAUAUAUUUUUUAUAUUUCUAUAGUUUAAAAAUAUUCCAUGAUGACCUAUAAUUACUUUUACUUAUUUUUUGAGACAAAAUCUCACCCUGUUGACCAAGGCUGGAGCGCAGUGGUGCAAUCUCGGCUUAGUGCAAUCUCGGUGUAGUCUCGACCUCACAGGCUCAAGUGAUCCUCCCACCUCAGCCUCCGGAGAAGCUGGGACUACAGCUCUUUGCCCAGCUUCCAGUGACUCCUCUGUGCCUGGAGAGAAGGGCAAGCGCCUUACUCAUGCCUUGAGGUUGCUGACCACUUCCGUCACCAGCCUCGCUCCUUCCAGACCUGCCCUGGGAGUCCCUGCCUCCUGGCCUUCACCUGCAUCACGGUCUGCACUUCUCAGAGCCCUGCCCUUCCUUGAAGAACAAAGCCUGGCCAAAUUGUGUCAGCCUUCUGGCCUGCAGUGACCCCUGCUUACAUCGUACAUAACAAUAGCUAUAACUUAUUGACAUUAACUUCAGGUCACAUAGCAAAAGUGCUCUCAUUUAAAUCUUAGGCCACCAGAGGAUCCAUAGACUAAAAUGUUAACAGCAUCUCCUGGAGUUGUGGAGUGUGGUGACCCUAUGUGAUCCUCCUGUGCCACUGAGAGAUAUAUUAUUAACCCAGUUUCACUGAUAAGAUAACUGAGGCUCAGAGAGGUCAAGUAACUUGCCCAUGGUCACACAGUGGGUCCAUGGCAGAGCUGGGAGGUGAUCCCUAGUCAGUUCCCUCCAAGUCCAGGAUUUUCUCACUCCCACAAUGGUGUCUCCCUUAAUGACUCUCACAUUCCAGCCUCUGAGGGCAGGAAGGGUAUGUUCUGAGUUGAACACACAGAGAGCACUCAAUGAUGUCUGGUGGUGAAGAUGUUAAUCAUGAGCUCAAUCAAGGUUUAUCAUUAAAUCAACAAGUCUUCCUAGUGUGUCUGGGAGCUCUGGGGCCCAGGGACAGGCCUACUGUAGUUCAGUGUUGUAUUCUGGCACCUGGUGGUUUCUGGCACAUAGCCCAUGUUCAUUAAAUGACAUGAAUUGAUUGUCCAUUCAAAUAAUAAAACAAUAAAUAAAUAAUACUAGCUAACAGGUAUGGAGUGCCUACAAGCCAGCCACCUCAGGGAGUUUCCAGGACAGUUGAGGAGAAACAUAACACUGUUGACAAGAGCUACAACGUAGGGUUUUACACCAAAACAGUGUCUACGUAAACAGUGUCUAUCAAAGAGAGAAAAAUGAUGGGCAGACACCCUGAUCCUUCCCACAGUGCUAAAGGCCAUGCCAGCCACUGUCCCCAUUACGACUUGCAUAUACUGACUGCCGAAGCACACAAACCUGAAUUUUCCGUCUGCAUCCAUCGUUCUGUCUGUUCGGAUCACAUCUGGAUACUACUGUUGCCUCUCCAGACUGGAUAACCAGUCUGCUGAGGGCCAGAAGAUGGUGAGAUGGAAACUAGUCAUGUUUACUUGGAGAAGAGAAAUGAAGACCGUCUUUAACACCUGACAGGUUGCUCUUCCCAAGAGGGGCCAGAGGGCAACAGCCAUGGUCAACAGCUCCAGGCACCCCUGAGGAAGCCUGCUCCAGCUGGCAGGGCUGUCUGGCAAGGGACCAGUCCCUCCUCUGGAGAAGUGGUGAGCCCAGUGGGCUGCCUCUCCAGCAGGAUCCUGUAGAGACCUUACUCUCUACAAUGCACACUCCACACACUUGCUCACUUGACAAACACUUAUUAUAACUGUCACCCUGGGCCCAUUCCAGGUUAGGGACAUAAGGAUGAAUAAAACAAGGUCUGUACCAGUAGAGAACAUCAGUCCUCUAGGGGAGAAAGUCAGGAAAGCCUCAUCCUGAGCCUUCGACUCCUUACUGUCCAUCCUCUAGGCUCCUGUCUCAGCUUCUGCUGAAGGCUAUUUUCUUCCUUGUAUUCUGCAGUGACCAGGCAUAUGGCAGAUAAUCAACAAAUACAGGCAUCCCUGAAGAGGGUAUCCUGGGAUAAAAGCCCCAGCUGGAUCAGUGCUAUACAGGGGCCAACUGGGGGUGGGUUCCAGGCAGGGUCAUUUGCAAGGGUCCCUCUGCCCCUUCAAGUCCUGCCAGACAGGCCUUGGCCAUGGUUUCUUCCUGCCCCUGUCCCCUGACCACAGUUGAUCUCCCCUGGCUGUUAUGAAAUGUCAAAGAAUGUCCUGCAAUCCUAAAUUCCAUAAUGAUCUUUAUCUUCUGUUCCCUCUGAGGCUCCUCAAUCUGCAGUAACAGCUGUGGUUCAGCAAGCAGUGCGGCACUCUGGAGUGCUGUUCUGAAACAGGGCCGGCGUGGGGCAGAGCUCAUCUGCUGCCCUAUCCAUUCACUGUGCUGUUCGGGGCUAGAGAAGAUUCAUGUGUGUAUAUGCUUUUUAAAAAUUGUGAAACAAUAAUUAUGCAGAAAAAUACAUAGAAUAUAUGUUCAGUUUAACAAAUAAUCAUAAAGCAAAUCUCUAUAAAACCACUGCUGCUCUGCAGUGACCCCUGCUUCCCCCUAAGUCGUGCAUAACAAUAGCUACAAUUUACUGACCAUGAACUUCAGGUCACACAGCAAAGGUGUUCUCAUUUAAUCUUUGGCCACCAGAGGCUGCAUAGACUAAAAUGUGAACAGUGUCCCCUGCAGUUGUGGAGUGUGGUGACCCUAUUGGAUCUUCUCAUGCCACUGAGGGAUAUACUGUUUUCUGUAGAGAAGUCCAGCAGAGUCACUGUCCUGGGGGGCAUCCUUCUUGAUCGCCCCCAUGCCAUGAAGGCCCAUUCCUUGCCCAGGGCUCUAGAGUCUGAGCUUCUCCAAGAGGGAAUGGAGUCUUUCGCAGAGGGGCUGUGGAGCCUCGUAAGGCUGAAUCUAACCACGAGCAGGGAUUUUGGGCAGCUGCAUAUCCCAGAUGGUUUCCCAGUGGAUCAGCUUCCUGUUGCUGCUCUAAUAAACUAACAUAAACUUAGGGGCUUAAAACAACACAAAUUUCUUUUCUUAUAGUUCCGUAGGUCAGAAGUCCAAAACAGGUCUCACUGGGCUAAACUGAAGGUGUCAGCAGGGCUGCAUUCCUUCCUGGGGGCUCUAGUAGAGAAUCUCUUUCCUUUCUUCCCCUUUCCAGCUUUUAGAGGCUGCCUGCAUUCCUUGGCCUGCGGCCCCUUCCUCCACCUUCAAAGCCAGCACUGGCUGGCCAGGUCUUUCAUAUAUUGCAAUCUCUCUGCUUCUGCUUCUGCUUCUGACCCUUCUGCCUCUCUCUUCUCCAUUUAAGAAUGCUUGUGAUUACAUUGGGCUCACCCACCCCAGUUUCUACCCAAUAAUCCAGGGUAAUCUCCCAAACUUAAAGAGAGAAAACAAUACUAGCACCCCCAAAGCACCUACGUGUUCCCCUACUAAUCACAACCCCAACCCUCCCUUCUGCAUAAGUAGACAUUUGUAAUAAUUCUGUGCUUUUUGUAGUUUGACCUCCUCUGCAUGUAUCCUUAACAAUACAGUUUUGCCAGCUGUUAAAUUUUUGCUAAAAG
RNAcentral lists this long non-coding RNA (3730 nucleotides) under Homo sapiens (human). Its description in RNAcentral is "non-protein coding lnc-IRF1-1:2". Lineage: Eukaryota; Metazoa; Chordata; Mammalia; Primates; Hominidae. The record is from RNAcentral.